AUUGAACGCUGGCGGCAUGCCUAACACAUGCAAGUCGAACGGCAGCACGGCAGUAGCAAUACUGUGGGUGGCGAGUGGCGGACGGGUGAGGAAUACGUCGGAAUCUGCCCAGUCGUGGGGGAUAACUAGCCGAAAGGUUAGCUAAUACCGCAUACGACCGAGAGGUGAAAGCGGGGGACCGCAAGGCCUCGCGCGAUUGGAUGAGCCGACGUCGGAUUAGCUAGUUGGUGGGGUAAAGGCCCACCAAGGCGACGAUCCGUAGCUGGUCUGAGAGGAUGAUCAGCCACACUGGAACUGAGACACGGUCCAGACUCCUACGGGAGGCAGCAGUGGGGAAUAUUGGACAAUGGGCGCAAGCCUGAUCCAGCAAUGCCGCGUGUGUGAAGAAGGCCUGGUUGUAAG
Molecule: ribosomal RNA, 402 nt
Filed under: uncultured bacterium
Lineage: Bacteria
Description: bacterial SSU rRNA
Rfam family: Bacterial small subunit ribosomal RNA
Source: RNAcentral